AUGAGCUCUCUCCUCCCCAAGCUGGGGGAGCUGCUCAAGGAGGAGUAUGACCUGCAGAAGCGUUUGAAGAAGGGGAUCAAGGAUCUGAAGGAUGAGCUCCUGGUCAUACAAGCUGCGCUCCUGAAGGUGUCCGACGUGCCACUAGACAAGCUUGAUCCGCUUGUCAAAAUUUGGGCAAACGAUGUCAGGGAGCUGUCCUAUGCCAUCGAGGACAGCCUUGACUCCUUCAUGGUGCGUGUUGAAGGUUUUGAGCCUACCAAGCCACACACCUUCUUCGGGUUCAUCAAGAAGACCUGCAAGAAGGCCACCAAGCUCAAGAUUCGUCGCAAAAUAGCCAACGACAUCAAUGACGUCAAGAUACAAGUUAGGGAGGUGAAGCAGACGUAUGACAGAUACAAAGAUGUUAUUGGUAAUACCAAUGCCAGAACGGAAGUCGACCCACGUCUCUUGGCCAUGUACACCAAAGUAUCUGACCUUGUUGGCAUUGAAAAGUCAAUCGAUGAGCUAACACGGAGGUUAUGUGAUGGCGAUGAUCUGUCCGUUUCGGUGGGUCACAAUGCUGACAUGAAAAAAGUUCUCAGGGACAUCCUCCAUGAUCUUGACAAGAAAAAAUAUAAGGACAUCACUGCAUCAAAAAUGGAUGUAAAACAGCUCAUCGAUGAGGUGCGUGGAUUUCUUGGGGACAAGAGGUAUGCAUUUAAUCCCUACUCCCACCCCACUAUGUGCUACUCAAUACAUACCAUAACAUGGGACAUUAUAAAGUGUGCUUUGGUGGACAGCAACUAUGAACGUAGAAUAAUCACAACUACCCGUAAUGCUGAAGUUGCUGAAAAAGUUGGUGGCAUUUACAACAUCAAACCGCUUUCUGAUGAUGACUCAAAAUGCUUAUUCUAUACAAGAACACGUGGUGGUGAAGGAGUAUGUCCAGAUAACCAACCUGCUGAAGUGACUAACAAAAUUUUAAAGAAAUGUGGAGGUGUGCCAUUAGCUAUCAUUACAAUAGCUAGCUUGCUUGUUGGAAAUCAAAGUGACGAUUGGUCUAAGGUGUAUGAUGCCAUCGGUUUUGGGAAUGAGCACAACGCAGCUGUUCAGAACACAAGAAAGAUACUAUCUUUUAGCUAUUAUGAUCUGCCUUCCAAUAUGAAGACAUGCCUAUUGUAUCUAAGUAUGUUUCCAGAAGAUUGCUUUAUCGUGAAAAAAUUACUGAUAUGGAGGUGGGUCUCGGAAGGUUUUGUC
RNAcentral lists this ribosomal RNA (1236 nucleotides) under Triticum aestivum (bread wheat). RNAcentral's name for it is "partial small subunit ribosomal RNA". The record is from RNAcentral. Lineage: Eukaryota; Viridiplantae; Streptophyta; Magnoliopsida; Poales; Poaceae.